CGGGACCUGCGGCUGAGUGACAGUGGGGCGGGGUCGCCCCGCCCACCCGGGGCGGGGGCGGCCGGAAAGGGGCGCGACCAAUCGCAGUGGACCCCGCUACUUCCCGAGCCCCGCCCCCGCCCCCCGGGGACCGCGUCUGUUCGUGGAAAAUUUUGCUGCAGGUGUCAGAAGCCUGCGUUGAGCUCCGCUCAGGGUCUCUCUGUGUAAACCUGGCUAUCCUGAAACUCACUAUGUGGACCAGGCUAGUCUGGACCCCCCCAGAGAUCUACUUGCCUCUGCUUUCAGAGUGCUGGAAUCAAAGAACCCAGGGAACUCCCUCAGAAGAGGAGCCAGAAAGAAUGUAAGAGCAGACAGGAUGGAGGACUGCAAGAAAGCAAGGCCCUCUAAAUCAACAUGAGCAGAGCUCAUAUGAACUCACAGAGACUGAGGCGGCAUGCACAGGGCCUGCAUGAGUCUGCACCAGGUCCUCUGCACAUAUAUUAUGGCUUCUACUUUAAUGGGAUUCCUGAUGAGCAAAUGAAUGGGUCUUUGAUUCUUGUGCCUUCUGUUGGGCUCUUUUCCUUCUCUUACCCAACUUUGAUGUGAUAGUUUUUGUCUUAUUAUAUUUGAUUAUGUUGUAUUUUAUUAUUGUCUCUUAGAAGUCUCUUCUUUUCAACUGGGAGACCAAAAGGGAAUGGACCCAGAUGGGAGGGAAGGUGGGGAAGACCUGGGAGGAGUAGAGGGAAGGAAAACCAUAAUCAGGAUAUAUUAUGGGAGAAAGGAAUCUAUUUUAAAUA
Mus musculus (house mouse) is the source of this 776-nucleotide long non-coding RNA. RefSeq annotates it as predicted gene 15634. NCBI's taxonomy places the organism in Eukaryota, Metazoa, Chordata, Mammalia, Rodentia, Muridae. The record is from RefSeq and is marked validated. The transcript has 3 exons.